This 520-nucleotide ribosomal RNA is filed under the name uncultured Glomus. Its description in RNAcentral is "SSU rRNA". It matches the Rfam family "Eukaryotic small subunit ribosomal RNA", at positions 569 to 1092 of the family's 1831-position model. Lineage: Eukaryota; Fungi; Glomeromycota; Glomeromycetes; Glomerales; Glomeraceae. The record is from RNAcentral.
AGCAGCCGCGGUAAUUCCAGCUCCAAUAGCGUAUAUUAAAGUUGUUGCAGUUAAAAAGCUCGUAGUUGAAUUUCGGGAUCAAUUUGUCGGUCGUGCCUCGGUACGUACUGGCAUUAUUGGUUUCUACCUUCUGAAGAACCUUGAUGUCGUUAAUUUGGUGUCUUGGGGAAUCAGGACUGUUACUUUGAAAAAAUUAGAGUGUUUAAAGUAGGCAUACGCUUGAAUACAUUAGCAUGGAAUAAUGAAAUAGGACGUUUUGAUUCUAUUUUGUUGGUUUCUAGGAUCGACGUAAUGAUUAAUAGGGAUAGUUGGGGGCAUUAGUAUUCAAUUGUCAGAGGUGAAAUUCUUGGAUUUAUUGAAGACUAACUACUGCGAAAGCAUUUGCCAAGGAUGUUUUCAUUAAUCAAGAACGAAAGUUAGGGGAUCGAAGACGAUCAGAUACCGUCGUAGUCUUAACCAUAAACUAUGCCGACUAGGGAUCGGAUGAUGUUAUUUUUAAUGACUCAUUCGGCGCCUUACG